Molecule: non-coding RNA, 269 nt
Organism: Schizosaccharomyces pombe (fission yeast)
Lineage: Eukaryota; Fungi; Ascomycota; Schizosaccharomycetes; Schizosaccharomycetales; Schizosaccharomycetaceae
Source: the annotation of a GenBank genome assembly
UAAUUUACUUAUCUGCUGUAUUCAAUUUUGCAAACUAUAAAAACAAUAUGGAUCUUUUAUAUGACAAUGAACUUCUAGUUUUUUAUAAUCAAAAACACCUUUCUUUAGCGUACAAAUGAUUAAGGUUUCAUUAAUGGGAAAUUGCCAACAAGUUUUACACUGGACUUUGUAAAGUUGAGCAAAAAAUCCUAUGUGUAGUAAAGCGUAAGAUGAACACUGAAGUAAUGAAAUAGUGUUGUAUUUAUCAAAAAUCCAUUAAUAACUUAAAG